This 266-nucleotide ribosomal RNA is filed under the name uncultured Strombidinopsis. RNAcentral's name for it is "partial Bacterial large subunit ribosomal RNA". It matches the Rfam family "Bacterial large subunit ribosomal RNA", at positions 2608 to 2885 of the family's 2925-position model. The record is from RNAcentral. Lineage: Eukaryota; Ciliophora; Spirotrichea; Choreotrichida.
GGUUUAGAACGUCGUGAGACAGUUCGGUCUCUAUCUACUGUGGGCGUUAGAAGUUUGAAUGGAUCUGACUCUAGUACGAGAGGACCGUGUUGGACGCACCUCUGGUGUAUCUGUUGUGGCGCCAGCUGCAUUGCAGAGUAGCUAUGUGCGGAUGAGAUAAGCGCUGAAAGCAUCUAAGCGCGAAACUCACCAUAAGAUGAGACUUCUUUUAAGGGCCGUGGAAGACGACCACGUUGAUAGGCUAUAGAUGUAAAGACGGUAACGUC